RNAcentral lists this ribosomal RNA (206 nucleotides) under uncultured bacterium. Its description in RNAcentral is "partial 16S ribosomal RNA". It matches the Rfam family "Bacterial small subunit ribosomal RNA", at positions 1295 to 1500 of the family's 1533-position model. The record is from RNAcentral.
GGAUUGCAGGCUGCAACUCGCCUGUAUGAAGUCGGAAUUGCUAGUAAUCGCGGAUCAGCAUGCCGCGGUGAAUACGUUCCCGGGCCUUGUACACACCGCCCGUCACACCAUGAGAGCCGGGAACACCCGAAGUCCGUAGUCUAACCGCAAGGAGGACGCGGCCGAAGGUGGGUUUGGUAAUUGGGGUGAAGUCGUAACAAGGUACC